Molecule: ribosomal RNA, 432 nt
Filed under: uncultured bacterium
Lineage: Bacteria
Description: partial 16S ribosomal RNA
Rfam family: Bacterial small subunit ribosomal RNA
Source: RNAcentral
AAUGAACGCUGGCGGCAGGCCUAACACAUGCAAGUCGAGCGGCCCUUUCGGAGUCACCUGCGGUUGCGGGAGUCACGCGGGGGAAUAUGCCAGUAUCCACCGAAUUGUCCUGGGAAACGGGGGGUAAUAGCGCGUACCCCCCGUGUGGGAAAGAUUCAUCGGGGGGGGGUUAGCACGCGCUGGAUUAGGUUGGUGGUGGGGUAAUGGCCUACCAAGGCGACGAUCCAUAGCUGGUUUGAGAGGAAGAUCAGCCACACUGGGACUGAGACGCGGCCCAGACUCCGACGGGAGGCAGCAGUGGGGAAUCUUAGACAACGGGGGCAACCCUGAUCUAGCCAGGCCGCGUGAGUGAUGAAGGCGGUAGGGUUGGAAAGCUCUUUCAGCUGGGAAGAUAAUGACGGUACCAGCAGAAGAAGCCCCGGCUAACUCCGU